Molecule: long non-coding RNA, 383 nt
Filed under: Olea europaea (common olive)
Lineage: Eukaryota; Viridiplantae; Streptophyta; Magnoliopsida; Lamiales; Oleaceae
Description: long non-coding RNA (OEUR_LNC010798)
Source: RNAcentral
AAAAUUUGAUGACAUGUGGGGAAUUAGUUAGUUUUAACUCAUAAAUCCUCAAAUCUCUCACUAGUCUCAAGACAUUCAUAUGAAGUGUUUUGAUUAGGGAUGUUUCAUUCUCCUUGAUCCAGGCACCCUAGGUCGAGAUUGGGGAUAAUGGUCCCAACCUCGAACCACUCUCCUCCCCCUCCCACAACCUCAACUAUAGCUGCUACAGAUAAGGUAAAGUGAUAACAAGAAGAAAGAUAAAGAUUCUCAUUUGCCUACCAACAACGAGAAGAGGCUGAUGACGGUGGCCAGGAAGGCCAUUCAAUCAAUGUUAUAUAAAUUUCUUGUAUUAUGGUUGAUCGUGUUUUAAUAUUCUUGACUUCAUAAUAAACCGUUGAUCUAUA